Molecule: non-coding RNA, 28 nt
Filed under: Rattus norvegicus (Norway rat)
Lineage: Eukaryota; Metazoa; Chordata; Mammalia; Rodentia; Muridae
Source: RNAcentral
UCACUGCCGUGGGAUGAUGAUGUGUGAU